GGGUCAGUAGGUUGGUCGUGCCACCGGUACGUACUGGUCUCACUGAUUCCUCCUUCCUGAAGAACCGUAAUGCCAUUAAUUUGGUGUUGCGGGGAAACAGGACUGUUACUUUGAAAAAAUUAGAGUGUUUAAAGCAAGCUAACACUUGAAUACAUUAGCAUGGAAUAAUGAAAUAGGACGAUCGAUCCUAUUUUGUCGGUUUCUAGGAUUGACGUA
RNAcentral lists this ribosomal RNA (216 nucleotides) under Glomeromycotina sp. RNAcentral describes it as "partial small subunit ribosomal RNA". The stretch from base 40 to 216 matches the Rfam family "Eukaryotic small subunit ribosomal RNA", at positions 686 to 864 of the family's 1831-position model. The record is from RNAcentral. Lineage: Eukaryota; Fungi; Glomeromycota.